AGACAAUGGAGAGUUUGAUCCUGGCUCAGGAUGAACGCUGGCGGCGUGCCUAAUACAUGCAAGUCGAACGGGAAUCUUCGGAUUCCAGUGGCGAACGG
Molecule: ribosomal RNA, 98 nt
Filed under: Kandleria vitulina
Lineage: Bacteria; Bacillati; Bacillota; Erysipelotrichia; Erysipelotrichales; Coprobacillaceae
Description: 16S rRNA. Bacterial SSU
Rfam family: Bacterial small subunit ribosomal RNA
Source: RNAcentral